RNAcentral lists this unclassified non-coding RNA (253 nucleotides) under uncultured Legionellaceae bacterium. Its description in RNAcentral is "contains 16S-23S intergenic spacer region". It matches the Rfam family "Bacterial small subunit ribosomal RNA", at positions 524 to 776 of the family's 1533-position model. Lineage: Bacteria; Pseudomonadati; Pseudomonadota; Gammaproteobacteria; Legionellales; Legionellaceae. The record is from RNAcentral.
UACGGAGGGUGCGAGCGUUAAUCGGAAUUACUGGGCGUAAAGGGUGCGUAGGUUGUUGAUUAAGUUAUAUGUGAAAUUCCUGGGCUUAACUUAGGGUUGACGUAUGAUACUGAUUGACUUGAGUAUGGGAGAGGGUAGUGGAAUUUCCGGUGUAGCGGUGAAAUGCGUAGAUAUCGGAAGGAACACUGGUGGCGAAGGCGUCUACCUGGCCUAAUACUGACACUGAGGCACGAAAGCGUGGGUAGCGAACAGG